CACAGGCCAGGAGUGCUCGCUCAGCAAACAUGUUAACACAAUUAUAAUGAAUAUUUAAAACAGCCAUGCUGCGAUUUGGCAACGGCUUUGGGAAAUGACAGGAGCACCUUGGGGAUUCGUCUAAUAUUAGAAAACGUGUUUUGAUGGUGACAGCAGGUGAUGCACUGAGCCAAAUUCCGGAGUCGAUUGUACCAGCGCAGCCUGACCAGGGCAACCGAGAGCAGUAGCUUUGGCCGUCAGCACUGCGCGUCUGCCAGAGAAGGAUCUGGGGGCAGAACAAGACCUCGGGGUGCUGCGCGGCUGGAAGUGCACGGUGCUGGCACGGUGCAGGUGGAAAUGUGGUGGACGGUGCCCUUUGUGCUCCUGCUGAGGCACAGAAAGAGAUUUGUUUGUCUGUGUGACCACUAAACGGUCUUGGCCAAAGAAAGUCAGAAUCUUUCCCAGAGUGGAGUUCAUAAGGACAGCUGCUGGCAGAAGACUGGCUGACUUCAGAGCCUCGUGACUGAAAUCAAAAAUCACUGGUGAGAGAACAGAAAAGUCUUGCAGAGUAAGGAAGGGUCAGCGAAGAGUGGAGAUGUCAAAUCAGGUCACUUAGGAGAGGGUCAAAGUGAAGGCAGAGAAAGACACCAGCAGAUGGACUCCCCUCCCACUCAUGUCUUGCCCUCCCCCAGGCUCCAAGCAGCUGGAAAGCAUUCCGCAUUUUCCUUGGCAAGAAAUCAGCAAGUGACCUGUGGUUAAGAUCUGGGAAAGCCUGUAUGGUUUGUUUGCCUGACCUUUUCCUUUCAGGAGC
RNAcentral lists this long non-coding RNA (790 nucleotides) under Anser brachyrhynchus (Pink-footed goose). Its description in RNAcentral is "lncRNA (ENSABRG00000011134.1)". Lineage: Eukaryota; Metazoa; Chordata; Aves; Anseriformes; Anatidae. The record is from RNAcentral.